GAUGAACGCUGGCGGCGUGCCUAAUACAUGCAAGUCGAACGCACAGCGAAAGGUGCUUGCACCUUUCAAGUGAGUGGCGAACGGGUGAGUAACACGUGGACAACCUGCCUCAAGGCUGGGGAUAACAUUUGGAAACAGAUGCUAAUACCGAAUAAAACUUAGUGUCGCAUGACACAAAGUUAAAAGGCGCUUCGGCGUCACCUAGAGAUGGAUCCGCGGUGCAUUAGUUAGUUGGUGGGGUAAAGGCCUACCAAGACAAUGAUGCAUAGCCGAGUUGAGAGACUGAUCGGCCACAUUGGGGCUGAGACACGGCCCAAACUCCUACGGGAGGCUGCAGUAGGGAAUCUUCCACAAUGGGCGAAAGCCUGAUGGAGCAACGCCGCGUGUGUGAUGAAGGCUUUCGGGUCGUAAAGCACUGUUGUAUGGGAAGAACAGCUAGAAUAGGAAAUGAUUUUAGUUUGACGGUACCAUACCAGAAAGGGACGGCUAAAUACGUG
RNAcentral lists this ribosomal RNA (497 nucleotides) under uncultured bacterium. RNAcentral describes it as "partial 16S ribosomal RNA". It matches the Rfam family "Bacterial small subunit ribosomal RNA", at positions 28 to 507 of the family's 1533-position model. The record is from RNAcentral.